ACGAUCGGCAUGCAACAUCAGAUCAGUCGGAACAGGCCGGAACAAAAAAUUUACAAAACUUAAGCUGCUGUUCAGCCAUUGCCGCCGCCUCCCACGAUUUAAAAAGUCGGAUGGUCGCCCAAUGCGUCCAGAGUCCGAUGAGUUCGCGCCGACGGAUCCGCGCCAUAAGGAACGAUUUCACCGCUGGGAAGUUAAUGAAGGUGGCCAUUCAGUCGCUACGAUUCUCUGAUCCUCAGGCAUUCACCAAGGGACAUCCUCUGUAGGCAGUUUUUUUGCAAUUGGAUGCUGUUCUUCGGCCCAAGCGAAACCUUUGAUUCCGUGAAAUUCUUCGUUGCACUCAUUGGUCUGCAGCACGUUUGGUUGGAAAUGCACGAGACGAUCCGCAACCCGGCCAUGAACCCGUGGCACGUAAUAUCGAAAAUGUUCGAUAGGAACACCAUCGACCAAAUAAAGCAGUUCGUCAACCUGGAACACUUUAUGUAUCCCUCGCUGGAUUCGGCGGC
Molecule: long non-coding RNA, 503 nt
Organism: Aedes albopictus (Asian tiger mosquito)
Lineage: Eukaryota; Metazoa; Arthropoda; Insecta; Diptera; Culicidae
Exons: 3
Source: RefSeq, a predicted model, not a curated record